GACGAACGCUGGCGGCGUGCCUAAUACAUGCAAGUUGAGCGCUGAAGGUUGGUACUUGUACCCACUGGGUGAGCAGCGGACGGGUGAGUAACGCGUGGGGAAUCUGCCUUUUAGCGGGGGACAACAUCUGGAAACGACUGCUAAUACCGCAUAAUACCUUUAAACACAAGUUUCAAGUUUGAAAGAUGCAAUUGCAGCACUCAAAGAUGAUCCCGCGUUGGAUUAGCUAGGUGGUGAGGUAAACGCCCACCCAGGCGAAGAUACCUAGGCUACCUGAGAGGGUGGUCCGCCACAAUGGGAAUGGGAAAAGGGCCAAACUCCUUAGGGGGGCAGCAGUAGGGAAUCUUCGGCAAAGGACGGAAGUCCUACCGAGCAACGCCGCGGGAGUGGAGGAGGUUUUCGGGUCGUAAAACUCUGUUGGUAGGGAAGAACGUUGGGGAGAGUGAAAAGCUCAUCAAGUGACGGUAACUAACCAGAAAGCGACGGCUAACUACGUG
Molecule: ribosomal RNA, 497 nt
Filed under: uncultured bacterium
Lineage: Bacteria
Description: partial 16S ribosomal RNA
Rfam family: Bacterial small subunit ribosomal RNA
Source: RNAcentral